Molecule: non-coding RNA, 93 nt
Filed under: Pantoea sp.
Lineage: Bacteria; Pseudomonadati; Pseudomonadota; Gammaproteobacteria; Enterobacterales; Erwiniaceae
Description: TPP sequence
Rfam family: TPP riboswitch aptamer (THI element)
About the family: Vitamin B(1) in its active form thiamin pyrophosphate (TPP) is an essential coenzyme that is synthesised by coupling of pyrimidine and thiazole moieties in bacteria. The previously detected thiamin-regulatory element, thi box was extended, resulting in a new, highly conserved RNA secondary structure, the THI element, which is widely distributed in eubacteria and also occurs in some archaea.
Source: RNAcentral
CCGUUCUCAACGGGGUGCCUGCAAAAGGCUGAGAUAAACCCGUCGAACCUGAUUCGGUUAAUACCGACGUAGGGAUUUGAGAGGCUGCUACGC